Molecule: transfer RNA, 66 nt
Filed under: Marmota monax (woodchuck)
Lineage: Eukaryota; Metazoa; Chordata; Mammalia; Rodentia; Sciuridae
Description: tRNA.Ser
Source: RNAcentral
GGUUGUGGCUCAGUGGUAGAGCACUGCCUCGAAUGUGUGAGACCCUGGGUUCGACCCUCAGCACCA